This 497-nucleotide ribosomal RNA is filed under the name uncultured bacterium. RNAcentral describes it as "partial 16S ribosomal RNA". It matches the Rfam family "Bacterial small subunit ribosomal RNA", at positions 28 to 507 of the family's 1533-position model. The record is from RNAcentral.
GAUGAACGCUGGCGGCGUGCCUAAUACAUGCAAGUCGAGCGAACGGACGAGAAGCUUGCUUCUCUGACGUUAGCGGCGGACGGGUGAGUAACACGUGGAUAACCUACCUAUAAGACUGGGAUAACUUCGGGAAACCGGAGCUAAUACCGGAUGAUAUUUUGAACCGCAUGGUUCAAAAGUGAAAGACGGUCUUGCUGUCACUUAUAGAUGGAUCCGCGCCGCAUUAGCUAGUUGGUAAGGUAACGGCUUACCAAGGCAACGAUGCGUAGCCGACCUGAGAGGGUGAUCGGCCACACUGGAACUGAGACACGGUCCAGACUCCUACGGGAGGCAGCAGUAGGGAAUCUUCCGCAAUGGGCGAAAGCCUGACGGAGCAACGCCGCGUGAGUGAUGAAGGUCUUCGGAUCGUAAAACUCUGUUAUUAGGGAAGAACAAAUGUGUAAGUAACUAUGCACGUCUUGACGGUACCUAAUCAGAAAGCCACGGCUAACUACGUG